RNAcentral lists this small RNA (586 nucleotides) under Pan troglodytes (chimpanzee). RNAcentral describes it as "retained intron". The record is from RNAcentral. Lineage: Eukaryota; Metazoa; Chordata; Mammalia; Primates; Hominidae.
GCAGAGCGAGGAGUCGGGAUUUGGUCGCGAGCGGCGACGUGCAUUUGUGCAGAAUGUCAUCAGAUGAGGAGAAAUACUCACUUCCAGUUGUGCAAAAUGACUCCAGUCGAGGCAGUUCUGUCUCUUCGAAUCUUCAGAAAAUAUUGAUGAACUCUUCAUACACUCUGUACAAAGGCUUCAACCAACACAGUAAGAGGAAGAAUAUGAAGAACUGCUUCGUUAUGCUAUAGUGACUCCAAAUAUUGAACCCGGUGCUUCACAGUCAUCUCAUCCUAAGGGAGAAUUGGUGCCAGAUGUCAGAAUUUCUACAAUUCAUGAUAUUCUUCAUAGUCAAGGUUAUAUAUAUUUUUCAAGAUAUCUCUUAAUUUAAAAUAUUACUGAGUUUAUUAAUGAUACCGACAGGAUUGUGAAAAUGCCUGUCCAGAUCAGUGAUUCUUCUCAACCAUUUAUGUGUAUUAGUAUCAUCUAGGGGAGCUUUUUACAGUUUAAUAUAUUAUUCCUGACUCGUGUGACAGCUUGAUUUUUCUUUGAACUUCAUUUGACUCUUACUUUUAUGAAGAAUAAUAAAGUUGAAGCAAUGCUAUGG